CUGUCUUCUAAGUACCUAUAUUUCUAACCAAAGGUUUGACCUCUAACAGCUAGACAUGGGUGAAAUUGGAUACCAAGCUUAAUGGUUUACCUACAGCAUCAUAGGAAAAUGGCAAUGAUAAAAUGGGAGAGAAUGGAUUGAUUAUUGCUGCUUGAGCCCAUACAGAAAUAGGGCCUUGGAGUUGCUGGAUGCCAUUGAUUGCUAUCUAUUCAUUCUCACAACAACUUUAAGGAAAAUGCAGCCAAGAGGAGAUAUACUCCCAGGGCAUGCAGCUUGAUGUUUGCAGAGGAGACAGUCUAGCAUUUCCCAGUCUGAUAUGGAACAUCAAAGAUUGCUAGGAUUUCUCAGUACUCAGACAUUCCUCAUUUUGUCUGAAGUGGUAAUAUCCUGAAGAGCCAAUAGUUGCAUGGAAU
RNAcentral lists this long non-coding RNA (413 nucleotides) under Homo sapiens (human). RNAcentral describes it as "HSALNT0369335". Lineage: Eukaryota; Metazoa; Chordata; Mammalia; Primates; Hominidae. The record is from RNAcentral.